This 425-nucleotide ribosomal RNA is filed under the name uncultured bacterium. RNAcentral's name for it is "partial 16S ribosomal RNA". It matches the Rfam family "Bacterial small subunit ribosomal RNA", at positions 354 to 796 of the family's 1533-position model. The record is from RNAcentral.
GUGGGGAAUCUUAGACAAUGGGCGCAAGCCUGAUCUAGCCAUGCCGCGUGAGCGAUGAAGGCCUUAGGGUUGUAAAGCUCUUUCAGCUGGGAAGAUAAUGACGGUACCAGCAGAAGAAGCCCCGGCUAACUCCGUGCCAGCAGCCGCGGUAAUACGGAGGGGGCUAGCGUUGUUCGGAAUUACUGGGCGUAAAGCGCGCGUAGGCGGAUCGGAAAGUUGGGGGUGAAAUCCCGGGGCUCAACCUCGGAACUGCCUUCAAAACUCCCGGUCUUGAGUUCGAGAGAGGUGAGUGGAAUUCCGAGUGUAGAGGUGAAAUUCGUAGAUAGUCGGAGGAACACCAGUGGCGAAGGCGGCUCACUGGCUCGAUACUGACGCUGAGGUGCGAAAGCGUAGGGAGCAAACAGGAUUAGAAACCCCUGUAGUCC